This 492-nucleotide ribosomal RNA is filed under the name uncultured bacterium. RNAcentral describes it as "bacterial SSU rRNA". It matches the Rfam family "Bacterial small subunit ribosomal RNA", at positions 28 to 531 of the family's 1533-position model. The record is from RNAcentral.
GACGAACGCUGGCGGCGCGCCUAACACAUGCAAGUCGAACGAGCGAGAGAGAGCUUACUUUCUCGAGCGAGUGGCGAACGGGUGAGUAACGCGUGAGGAACCUGCCUCAAAGAGGGGGACAACAGUUGGAAACGACUGCUAAUACCGCAUAAGCCCACGGGUCGGCAUCGACCAGAGGGAAAAGGAGCAAUCCGCUUUGAGAUGGCCUCGCGUCCGAUUAGCUAGUUGGUGAGGUAACGGCCCACCAAGGCAACGAUCGGUAGCCGGACUGAGAGGUUGAACGGCCACAUUGGGACUGAGACACGGCCCAGACUCCUACGGGAGGCAGCAGUGGGGAAUAUUGCACAAUGGGGGAAACCCUGAUGCAGCGACGCCGCGUGGAGGAAGAAGGUCUUCGGAUUGUAAACUCCUGUUGUUGAGGAAGAUAAUGACGGUACUCAACAAGGAAGUGACGGCUAACUACGUGCCAGCAGCCGCGGUAAAGUCUGUACU